AUGGCUAGGAUUAACUAUGGUGUCAUAUCUCUGAUCCCCAAAAUAGUUGGGGUGACGGAUAUUCGGCAAUUCCACCCCAUCACGGUAAUCAAUGUGUUGGAGCGAAUCUUUCUGAAGGUUUGUGUGACCUGUUUAUCCCUUGUGGCGGAAAGGAUUCACCCCCUUCAGUCCGCGUUCUUGAAGGGCCGGCGGAUCCCCUUCACGAGAUUAUCCAUGAGGUGGCGUCGAAGGGUGUCGGGGGUGUGGUCCGACAUAUUCCAAAGGAUGGCUUAUCAUGGAGGGGGCUAG
This 288-nucleotide ribosomal RNA is filed under the name Triticum aestivum (bread wheat). RNAcentral's name for it is "partial small subunit ribosomal RNA". The record is from RNAcentral. Lineage: Eukaryota; Viridiplantae; Streptophyta; Magnoliopsida; Poales; Poaceae.